AAGUCGUAACAAGGUUUCCGUAGGUGAACCUGCGGAAGGAUCAUUAUCGAAUUCUGAGGGGAGGGAAGAUGGGAAGUGAGGAUUGUCGCUGGCUCGAGCUAUCGAGCAUGUGCACGUCUUUGCAUUUCGUCUACCUUUCUCUCUCAUACACACACCUGUGCACCUGUCGUAGGUCCUCAAAAGAGGAUCUAUGUUUUUUCACAUCACACUCGUCGUAUGUCUAUAGAAUGUAUUGAGAACGUCGACCUGCUUGACAGGGCGGCGGUCCAUAAAAUCAUACAACUUUCAGCAACGGAUCUCUUGGCUCUC
This 309-nucleotide unclassified non-coding RNA is filed under the name Boletus sp. RNAcentral describes it as "partial internal transcribed spacer region". The stretch from base 1 to 46 matches the Rfam family "Eukaryotic small subunit ribosomal RNA", at positions 1786 to 1831 of the family's 1831-position model. Lineage: Eukaryota; Fungi; Basidiomycota; Agaricomycetes; Boletales; Boletaceae. The record is from RNAcentral.